Molecule: long non-coding RNA, 1157 nt
Filed under: Chrysolophus pictus (golden pheasant)
Lineage: Eukaryota; Metazoa; Chordata; Aves; Galliformes; Phasianidae
Description: lncRNA (ENSCPIG00010010446.1)
Source: RNAcentral
AGUAGGGCCAUGGGAAGAUAAUGAAUGUCUUGUGGGAGGAAGGACCAGUAGGAGAUAUGGACUGAGGCAAGCAUGGUGCGGUUCGGGCUCCUCUGUGACUGUGAGGUGCAUGCUGGGGAGAUAGCAAAGAUUAAGUGCUGUCAGCAAGAGACUUUGUGGGCUCAGGCUUCAUGGCACAUUUAACAUCACCACAGCAGAUGUGACUUCGAGCGGCAAUGGUUCAGAUGACGAAGACUCUUCAGAGGAGAUGACAUACUCAACGGUGUUUCCAGGAUGGGAAAUAAGUGUAGCCAAGAAUGAGUAUGCUCCAAGUACUAGUAAGGAACUUCCUCUCUCUUUGGGUACAUUGCUGUGGUUGUGGUUUUAAGUUUGCUUGCUCAUCAUUCCAUUUUCUAUGCAGUCUUCCCUUCCUUCACCAUAGGAGCAUUUGUUAAAGGAGUAGCUGCUGUUCUAGUCAGCUCUUGCUUCAGGUAACUCUCCCAUACCAAAGAAAAAGUUUAUUUAGACCUUGUGAGGUCCUCAUCCCUAGAAGGGCCUUCUUCCAGUGCUGCUAAAAUCUAUAUCUCAUUUCCGUAAGCACUGGCCCUGAGUGACACUGUGAUAUAUUUGUCUUGUAUGGCACAGCGAAGGAAAAAGGAGCAAAGUCCUGUAAUUUCUCUAAGUGGAUGUCUGUUUCCACCCUUAAAUGUCUGUCACAAUCAAUGGUUUAGUACUAUUUGAAAUGCCAUAUUCUGAGAAAAUGCUGUGCAGUGGUAAUGUAAUAGAGGUGAAGUUGUGUUUCCCAGAUUUGUUGAUGCCAAACUCAGAGGUGUCUGGCUUCAGAGGGCUAUCAGUAGAAGAGAAUGCAAAAAUAACGGGUGUGCUUGUUUCUGGGUACUCUUUCCAGGCUGUUGCGGAUACUUUUUUCUCUCUGUGUCAUUUUUCUUUCAAGUCCUGGUGGAUGUUCUCCAUUCUGGAGGUUAUCGGAGGCAAACUGCUUUUUCUCAUACUGGCACAGUUUGUAAGGAACUCAUUAACACGCUAAAUGGCAAGGAAAGACUCAGAGGGUUUUGUGAUGCUUCCUCCCAAGCAACCAUGUUCUUUCUUGGGAUUGCCAGCAGUCUGUCUUUCAGCUCUCUAUGAGUUUCAGGAAUGUACUGAUUCCCCAAGUUCAUACA